GUUGUAUGGUUAAGUGACUAAGCGUACACGGUGGAUGCCUUGGCAGUCAGAGGCGAUGAAAGACGUAGUAACUUGCGAUAAGCCCAGAUUAGGUAGUAACAACCAUUUGAGUCUGGGAUUUCUGAAUGGGGAAACCCACGUGCAUAAGCACGUAUCCUUACCUGAAUACAUAGGGUAAGGAGGCGAACCGGGGGAACUGAA
RNAcentral lists this ribosomal RNA (201 nucleotides) under Vibrio parahaemolyticus. RNAcentral's name for it is "partial 23S ribosomal RNA". It matches the Rfam family "Bacterial large subunit ribosomal RNA", at positions 1 to 197 of the family's 2925-position model. Lineage: Bacteria; Pseudomonadati; Pseudomonadota; Gammaproteobacteria; Vibrionales; Vibrionaceae. The record is from RNAcentral.